UCUCCGUAGGUGAACCUGCGGAGGGAUCAUUACAGAGUUCUCGCCCUCGCGGGUAGAUCUCCCACCCACUGUUAUCGUUUCUGUGUUGCUUUGGCGGGCCGCCGGGCCCCGCUCGGCCGCCGGCUCCGGCUGGCGCGCGCCCGCCAGAGGCCCAGCAAACUCUGAAUGUUAGUGUCGUCUGAGUACUAUAUAAUAGUUAAAACUUUCAACAACGGAUCUCUUGGUUCUG
RNAcentral lists this unclassified non-coding RNA (229 nucleotides) under plant metagenome. Its description in RNAcentral is "partial contains small subunit ribosomal RNA, internal transcribed spacer 1, and 5.8S ribosomal RNA". The record is from RNAcentral.